RNAcentral lists this unclassified non-coding RNA (334 nucleotides) under soil metagenome. RNAcentral's name for it is "partial contains 5.8S ribosomal RNA, internal transcribed spacer 2, and large subunit ribosomal RNA". The stretch from base 1 to 120 matches the Rfam family "5.8S ribosomal RNA", at positions 35 to 154 of the family's 154-position model. The record is from RNAcentral.
GAUGAAGAACGUAGCGAAAUGCGAUACGUAAUGUGAAUUGCAGAAUUCAGUGAAUCAUCGAAUCUUUGAACGCACAUUGCGCCUGCCAGCACUCUGGCAGGCAUGCCUGUUCCAGCGUCAUUUCAACCAUCAAGCCCUAGGCUUGCGUUGGAGCCCUGCGGCUGCCGCAGGCCCCUAAAAGCAGUGGCGGGCUCGCUAUCACACCGAGUGCAGUAGAUUACUCUUCGCUCAGGGCGUGUGGCGGGUUCCAGCCGUGAAACCCCCUACUUCUCAAGGUUGACCUCGGAUCAGGUAGGAAUACCCGCUGAACUUAAGCAUAUCAAUAAGCGGAGGA